CCGGCACGGGUGGAGUAACACGUAUCCAACCUGCCGUCUACUCUUGGACAGCCUUCUGAAAGGAAGAUUAAUACAAGAUGGCAUCAUGAGUUCACAUGUUCACAUGAUUAAAGGUAUUCCGGUAGACGAUGGGGAUGCGUUCCAUUAGAUAGUAGGCGGGGUAACGGCCCACCUAGUCUUCGAUGGAUAGGGGUUCUGAGAGGAAGGUCCCCCACAUUGGAACUGAGACACGGUCCAA
This 238-nucleotide ribosomal RNA is filed under the name uncultured bacterium. Its description in RNAcentral is "partial 16S ribosomal RNA". It matches the Rfam family "Bacterial small subunit ribosomal RNA", at positions 100 to 334 of the family's 1533-position model. The record is from RNAcentral.